AACGAACGCUGGCGGCAUGCCUAACACAUGCAAGUCGAACGAGACCUUCGGGUCUAGUGGCGCACGGGUGCGUAACGCGUGGGAACCUGCCCUUAGGUUCGGAAUAACUCCCCGAAAGGGGUGCUAAUACCGGAUAAUGUCUUCGGACCAAAGAUUUAUCGCCUUUGGAUGGGCCCGCGUUGGAUUAGCUAGUUGGUAGGGUAACAGCCUACCAAGGCGACGAUCCAUAGCUGGUCUGGGAGGAUGAUCAGCCACACUGGGACUGAGACACGGCCCAGACUCCUGCGGGAGGCCGCAGUGGGGAAUAUUGGACGAUGGGCGAAAGCCUGAUCCAGCCAUGCCGCGUGAGUGAUGAAGGCCUUAGGGUUGUAAAGCUCUUUUACCCGGGAUGAUAAUGACAGUACCGGAAGAAUAAGCUCCGGCUAACUCCGUG
This 433-nucleotide ribosomal RNA is filed under the name uncultured bacterium. RNAcentral describes it as "partial 16S ribosomal RNA". It matches the Rfam family "Bacterial small subunit ribosomal RNA", at positions 29 to 507 of the family's 1533-position model. The record is from RNAcentral.